This 797-nucleotide long non-coding RNA is filed under the name Brassica napus (rape). RNAcentral describes it as "long non-coding RNA (BNAP_LNC003140)". Lineage: Eukaryota; Viridiplantae; Streptophyta; Magnoliopsida; Brassicales; Brassicaceae. The record is from RNAcentral.
GUAGGUGUCGAAGGAGAUUCGUUUCUUGAUUUUAUACGUGAGCUUUCUCUUCCCUAUUUCCAACCUUUAAAUUUUAAUAUUGCCUUGAAAACUGAAAUUUAAGUAAACAAAAAAAAUUCAAGUUAACCGAAAAUACUACUACUAGAUGAAGCAUAAAGAGAGAAACAUAGGGUUAAGAGUAAUUUGACCCAAAAAAAAAAGGGUUAAGAGUAAUUAAGAGAAGAAUCCAAAGCUCAAAUAUAAAUUUAUUCCAACCAUGGAAGCACGUUGUAUCCAUUACUAAGCUUUUGUUUAUUCUCUCUAAUCGCAUCGUCUCGUGUAGUGUUCCUUUUUGUCUCCUUAAACGCACAUCUCUAUAAGGAUUCUUACUGUAUUAGUUUUUACUUUUUACUCAUUACACAACAUUGAUUCAAAUCUUUGCUCAGCAAAAAAAUUAUCCUCACUAUUAAUAUAUAGUAGUGAGUAGAAUGAUUAGACUAUUUCUGUAGCUUUCUGCUAAUCAUGUGAAAUCUAUUUUGAAUGGUAAAACAAUGUUCAACCAAGCUUAAACGGGGAAAGAAAGCUCACGAGCCAUUGUUUAAUAGAAAAAGUUAGGAGUUUGAAAGUGUAUUGUUUUGUGUGAGACAUGAGCACGAAGAUGAGAUAUAGGAAGGGAUAUGUUUUGCUUUUUCAUAAAACCACAUAGUAAAGGAGACAAACAUGUUGUGAAAGCGACGAAUGAUGAAGAAAAUAAAACCAAUAGAAAGUAUCAACAAAGUUCUCUUUAUUUCUUUUGGUUUGAAAUUGAAAAUUAGAAC